This 77-nucleotide transfer RNA is filed under the name Candidatus Peregrinibacteria bacterium CG_4_10_14_0_2_um_filter_41_8. RNAcentral's name for it is "tRNA-Ile". It matches the Rfam family "tRNA". Rfam says of the family: Transfer RNA (tRNA) molecules are approximately 80 nucleotides in length. RNAcentral also lists the same sequence under 1 other name. The record is from RNAcentral. Lineage: Bacteria; Candidatus Peregrinibacteriota.
GGGCGGGUAGCUCAGCUGGUUAGAGCGCGACACUGAUAAUGUCGAGGUCGGAGGUUCAAGUCCUCCUUCGCCCACCA